This 493-nucleotide unclassified non-coding RNA is filed under the name Hevea brasiliensis (rubber tree). The record is from RNAcentral. Lineage: Eukaryota; Viridiplantae; Streptophyta; Magnoliopsida; Malpighiales; Euphorbiaceae.
GUCAUUGCGGACCACAAAAUCCUGCAUUCAUAGGAAUUGCUCAUAAAUGAUUAGUUUCAGCCACCAGGUUAAUUCCUACUCCACAAAACAAAACAUAUCAUUUUCACUGCUUUUAUUAGUUUUUGCAUAGAUGCAAUCAACACAACUUCCAUGUCAAUGGCUGAACUUCUGGCAUGUAAUUGAAACUACAAGAAAUUGAAAGCAGCCAUCUUUUGUGUUUUAUGACAAUUCAUUCCAAUCAUGAACAUUAUAAAUUAUGAAGAAUGAAAUUUUAUGUUCAGUAGUGGAAUGUGUCUUGCACAUCUUCCUUCAGUAUUACAGAGGCCAUCAGAAAUCAUGUUGUUUAAAAUGUGAGUCUCAUGGAGAUCAAAAUGGAUGAUUAUGCUUUGGUUUCUAUAUAGUAGAUGAAAGCAAUUAUCAUCAAACAAUAAGAAAUUUCAUAUUAUUGCUAACCUCUCUGAUAUUCAGAGGAAGGAGAAACUGCCACCUUUUU